This 73-nucleotide transfer RNA is filed under the name Marmota monax (woodchuck). Its description in RNAcentral is "tRNA.Ala". It matches the Rfam family "tRNA". Rfam says of the family: Transfer RNA (tRNA) molecules are approximately 80 nucleotides in length. Lineage: Eukaryota; Metazoa; Chordata; Mammalia; Rodentia; Sciuridae. The record is from RNAcentral.
GUGGGGUUGUGGCUCAGUGGUAGAGUGCUUGCCUAGCAUGCAUGAGGCACUGGGUUUGAUCCUCAGCACCACA